AUCAAAUAUCUGCCACGUGGAGUUUUUAAGGAUGCGAAACAGAUUAGGUCUAUGAGCUUUUAUCUUAACAAAAUCACUGAAGUAACUAAUGAACAAUUCAAAGAUGUCGCGCCAAACAUUCGAUUCUUGUACUUUCAUUACAACGAGAUGCGGGAACUACCAGAAGGCUUUUUCUCUAACAUGAAGGAGUUAAUGACAGCG
Long non-coding RNA from Stylophora pistillata, 201 nucleotides. The record is from RefSeq and is a predicted model, not a curated record. NCBI's taxonomy places the organism in Eukaryota, Metazoa, Cnidaria, Anthozoa, Scleractinia, Pocilloporidae.